This 301-nucleotide ribosomal RNA is filed under the name uncultured bacterium. RNAcentral's name for it is "partial 16S ribosomal RNA". It matches the Rfam family "Bacterial small subunit ribosomal RNA", at positions 509 to 807 of the family's 1533-position model. The record is from RNAcentral.
CAGCAGCCGCGGUAAUACGUAGGUGGCAAGCGUUGUCCGGAAUUAUUGGGCGUAAAGGGCUCGCAGGCGGUUUCUUAAGUCUGAUGUGAAAGCCCCCGGCUCAACCGGGGAGGGUCAUUGGAAACUGGGAAACUUGAGUGCAGAAGAGGAGAGUGGAAUUCCACGUGUAGCGGUGAAAUGCGUAGGGAUGUGGAGGAACACCAGUGGCGAAGGCGACUCUCUGGUCUGUAACUGACGCUGAGGAGCGAAAGCGUGGGGAGCGAACAGGAUUAGAUACCCCCGUAGUCCCUGUCUCUUAUAC